Molecule: ribosomal RNA, 408 nt
Filed under: uncultured bacterium
Lineage: Bacteria
Description: partial 16S ribosomal RNA
Rfam family: Bacterial small subunit ribosomal RNA
Source: RNAcentral
GACGAACGCUGGCGACGUGCUUAACACAUGCAAGUCGAACGAAGUGGCGAACGGGUGAGUAACGCGUACUCAACCUGCCCUUCAGAGGGGGACAACAGUUGGAAACGACUGCUAAUCCCGCAACCUGAAGGAGGGGAUUGCGUUUGAUUUGCUAGUUGGUGGGGGAACGGCCCACCAAGGCGAUGACAAUUAGCCGGUCUGAGGGGGUGAACGGCCAAAUUGGGACUGAGACACGGCCCAGACUCCUACGGGAGGCAGCAGUGGGGAAUCUUCCGCAAUGGACGAAAGUCUGACGGAGCAAAGCCGCGUGAGUGAUGACGGCCUUCGGGUUGUAAAGCUCUGUUAAUCGGGACGCGGUACCGGAAUAGAAAGCCACGGCUAACUACGUGCCAGCAGCCGCGGUAAUAC